RNAcentral lists this transfer RNA (70 nucleotides) under Dipodomys ordii (Ord's kangaroo rat). It matches the Rfam family "tRNA". Rfam says of the family: Transfer RNA (tRNA) molecules are approximately 80 nucleotides in length. Their secondary structure includes four short double-helical elements and three loops (D, anti-codon, and T loops). Lineage: Eukaryota; Metazoa; Chordata; Mammalia; Rodentia; Heteromyidae. The record is from Rfam by way of RNAcentral.
GGGAAAGUGGCUCAGUGGUAGAGUGCUUGCAUCACAUGCAUGAGGUCCUGGGUUCGAAUCCUCAGCACCA